RNAcentral lists this ribosomal RNA (429 nucleotides) under Gemmatimonadota bacterium. RNAcentral describes it as "Gemmatimonadetes bacterium partial 16S ribosomal RNA". It matches the Rfam family "Bacterial small subunit ribosomal RNA", at positions 355 to 776 of the family's 1533-position model. Lineage: Bacteria; Pseudomonadati; Gemmatimonadota. The record is from RNAcentral.
UAGGGAAUCUUCGGCAAUGGACGAAAGUCUGACCGAGCAACGCCGCGUGAGUGAAGAAGGUUUUCGGAUCGUAAAACUCUGUUGUUAGAGAAGAACAAGGACGUUAGUAACUGAACGUCCCCUGACGGUAUCUAACCAGAAAGCCACGGCUAACUACGUGCCAGCAGCCGCGGUAAUACGUAGGUGGCAAGCGUUGUCCGGAUUCAUUGGGCGUAAAGCGAGCGCAGGCGGUUUCUUAAGUCUGAUGUGAAAGCCCCCGGCUCAACCGGGGAGGGUCAUUAGAAACUGGGAGACUUGAGUGCAGAAGAGGAGAGUGGAAUUCCAUGUGUAGCGGUGAAAUGCGUAGAUAUAUGGAGGAACACCAGUGGCGAAGGCGGCUCUCUGGUCUGUAACUGACGCUGAGGCUCGAAAGCGUGGGGAGCAAACAGG